This 1936-nucleotide ribosomal RNA is filed under the name Neolyngbya sp. OdA1. Its description in RNAcentral is "bacterial SSU rRNA". The stretch from base 1 to 1448 matches the Rfam family "Bacterial small subunit ribosomal RNA". Lineage: Bacteria; Bacillati; Cyanobacteriota; Cyanophyceae; Oscillatoriales; Sirenicapillariaceae. The record is from RNAcentral.
GGGGGCUGCUUACCAUGCAAGUCGAACGGUCUCUUCGGAGAUAGUGGCGGACGGGUGAGUAACGCGUGAGAACCUACCCCUAGGACGGGGACAACAGAGGGAAACUUCUGCUAAUCCCGGAUGAGCCCUCGGGUAAAAGAUUUAUCGCCUAGGGAUGAGCUCGCGUCUGAUUAGCUAGUUGGUGGGGUAAAAGCCUACCAAGGCGACGAUCAGUAGCUGGUCUGAGAGGAUGAUCAGCCACACUGGGACUGAGACACGGCCCAGACUCCUACGGGAGGCAGCAGUGGGGAAUUUUCCGCAAUGGGCGCAAGCCUGACGGAGCAAGACCGCGUGGGGGAGGAAGGUUCUUGGAUUGUAAACCCCUUUUCUCAGGGAAGAAGAAAGUGACGGUACCUGAGGAAUCAGCCUCGGCUAACUCCGUGCCAGCAGCCGCGGUAAUACGGAGGAGGCAAGCGUUAUCCGGAAUGAUUGGGCGUAAAGCGUCCGUAGGUGGCAUUUCAAGUCUGCUGUCAAAGACUGGAGCUUAACUCCGGAAAGGCAGUGGAAACUGAAAAGCUAGAGUGCGGUAGGGGCAGAGGGAAUUCCUGGUGUAGCGGUGAAAUGCGUAGAGAUCAGGAAGAACACCGGUGGCGAAAGCGCUCUGCUGGGCCGCAACUGACACUGAGGGACGAAAGCUAGGGGAGCGAAUGGGAUUAGAUACCCCAGUAGUCCUAGCUGUAAACGAUGGAGACUAGGUGUUGCCUGUAUCGACCCGGGCAGUGCCGAAGCUAACGCGUUAAGUCUCCCGCCUGGGGAGUACGCACGCAAGUGUGAAACUCAAAGGAAUUGACGGGGGCCCGCACAAGCGGUGGAGUAUGUGGUUUAAUUCGAUGCAACGCGAAGAACCUUACCAGGACUUGACAUGUCCGGAAGCUCGGGGAAACCUGAGUGUGCCUUCGGGAACCGGAACACAGGUGGUGCAUGGCUGUCGUCAGCUCGUGUCGUGAGAUGUUGGGUUAAGUCCCGCAACGAGCGCAACCCUCGUCCUUAGUUGCCAGCAUUAAGUUGGGCACUCUAGGGAGACUGCCGGUGACAAACCGGAGGAAGGUGGGGAUGACGUCAAGUCAUCAUGCCCCUUACGUCCUGGGCUACACACGUACUACAAUGGGGAGGACAAAGGGUAGCGACUUUGCGAAAAGAAGCCAAUCUCAGAAACCUCUCCUCAGUUCAGAUUGCAGGCUGCAACUCGCCUGCAUGAAGGAGGAAUCGCUAGUAAUCGCAGGUCAGCAUACUGCGGGAAUCCGUUCCCGGGCCUUGUACACACCGCCCGUCACACCAUGGAAGUUGGCCAUGCCCGAAGUCGUUACCCUAACCGUUCGCGGAGGGGGGCGCCGAAGGCAGGGCUGAUGACUGGGGUGAAGUCGUAACAAGGUAGCCGUACCGGAAGGUGUGGCUGGAUCACCUCCUUUCAGGGAGACCUACCAAACUGACUCCGAGGUAAAGAACUAAGAGCGGUUAUGGUCACUCUAGGUCGGGAGCAGGAUUUUAGGAAUCUCACACUAUUGUUUAAGUUUAAUGCUUAAGGGAUUAAGUAUUAAGGGCUAUUAGCUCAUGUGGUCAGAGCGCACCCCUGAUAAGGGUGAGGUCCCUGGUUCAAGUCCAGGAUGGCCCAGUGGGGAUGGGGGUAUAGCUCAGAUGGUAAAGCGCCUGCUUUGCAAGCAGGAUGUCAGCGGUUCGACUACGCUUACCCUCCAUCGAUUAGGAGAUGAGAGAGAUAGGCAAUAAAUUCAGCAACCCUGAGAGUUAACGGGGAGUUAGCAUUUUUAGGCUGCUGGGACUUACGUCUAUCGAGAACCUUUGACAACUGGCAUAAAUAACCCCAAAACGGCAUUUCGAACCCUAAAAACCCUUUAAUAAAAAAAAACUGAAAGGUCCACCCUUCCAAAUGGGCUCUUGG